CUCGAGUCUGAGGUGGAGGAGACCAACAGCAAGAACAAGGAAGAAGCCGGUCGUGACCUGAAGCAAAAGAUGCUGAAAGACAGUCAUAAAACUCCACAAAUGCUACAUUCAUGAAGCAAAUGGCUCUACUUCCUUACAUGUGGAAUAAGGACUAAACUGAGCAUGUGUGAAGUGAAUCAGGUCAUUAUUAAUCUGACUGUCAACAAGUGAGGACCUCAC
This is a long non-coding RNA of Ictalurus punctatus (channel catfish), 219 nucleotides long. RefSeq lists it as uncharacterized. NCBI's taxonomy places the organism in Eukaryota, Metazoa, Chordata, Actinopteri, Siluriformes, Ictaluridae. The transcript is spliced from 4 exons. The record is from RefSeq and is a predicted model, not a curated record.